ACGAGUGGCGGACGGGUGGGUAAUGUCUGGGAAACUGCCCGGUGGAGGGGGAUAACUACUGGAAACGGUAGCUAAUACCGCAUAACGUCGCAAGACCAAAGAGGGGGACCUUCGGGCCUCUUGCCACCGGAUGUGCCCAGAUGGGAUUAGCUUGUUGGUGAGGUAACGGCUCACCAAGGCGACGAUCCCUAGCUGGUCUGAGAGGAUGACCAGCCACACUGGAACUGAGACACGGUCCAGACUCCUACGGAAGGCAGCAG
RNAcentral lists this ribosomal RNA (260 nucleotides) under uncultured bacterium. RNAcentral's name for it is "partial 16S ribosomal RNA". It matches the Rfam family "Bacterial small subunit ribosomal RNA", at positions 91 to 354 of the family's 1533-position model. The record is from RNAcentral.